This 31-nucleotide non-coding RNA is filed under the name Mus musculus (house mouse). Lineage: Eukaryota; Metazoa; Chordata; Mammalia; Rodentia; Muridae. The record is from RNAcentral.
UGGAAGGAUUCUUUCAGCUCUGCCUAAGUGU